UACAGAGGUCUCAAGCGUUGUUCGGAUUCAUUGGGCGUAAAGGGUUCGUAGGCGGCGCGGUAAGUCGGGUGUGAAAUCUUGGAGCUUAACUCCGAAACUGCAUUCGAUACUGCAGUGCUUGAGGACUGGAGAGGAGACUGGAAUUUACGGCGUAGCGGUGAAAUGCGUAGAUAUCGUAAGGAAGACCAGUGGCGAAGGCGGGUCUCUGGACAGUUCCUGACGCUGAGGCACGAAGGUCAGGGGAGCAAACGGG
RNAcentral lists this ribosomal RNA (253 nucleotides) under uncultured bacterium. Its description in RNAcentral is "partial 16S ribosomal RNA". It matches the Rfam family "Bacterial small subunit ribosomal RNA", at positions 524 to 776 of the family's 1533-position model. The record is from RNAcentral.